CCCUACUGUACAUAACAGAUGUACCACUAUAGACCAUAGACAGGUAGUCUGUCUAACCCUACUGUACAUAACAGAUGUACCACUAUAGACCAUAGACAGGUAGUCUGUCUAACCCUACUGUACAUAACAGAUGUACCACUAUAGACCAUAGACAGGUAGUCUGUCUAACCCUACUGUACAUAACAGAUGUACCACUAUAGACCAUAGACAGGUAGUCUGUCUAACCCUACUGUACAUAACAGAUGUACCACUAUAGACCAUAGACAGGUAGUCUGUCUAACCCUACUGUACAUAACAGAUGUACCACUAUAGACCAUAGACAGGUAGUCUGUCUAACCCUACUGUACAUAACAGAUGUACCACUAUAGACCAUAGACAGGUAGUCUGUCUAACCCUACUGUACAUAACAGAUGUACCACUAUAGACCAUAGACAGGUAGUCUGUCUAACCCUACUGUACAUAACAGAUGUACCACUAUAGACCAUAGACAGGUAGUCUGUCUAACCCUACUGUACAUAACAGAUGUACCACUAUAGACCAUAGACAGGUAGUCUGUCUUCCCUACUGUACAUAACAGAUGUACCACUAUAGACCAUAGACAGGUAGUCUGUCUAACCCUACUGUACAUAACAGAUGUACCACUAUAGACCAUAGACAGGUAGUCUGUCUUCCCUACUGUACAUAACAGAUGUACCACUAUAGACCAUAGACAGGUAGUCUGUCUAACCCUACUGUACAUAACAGAUGUACCACUAUAGACCAUAGACAGGUAGUCUGUACCACUAUAUAGACCAUAGACAGGUAGUCUGUACCACUAUAGACCAUAGACAGGUAGUCUGUACCACUAUAUAGACCAUAGACAGGUAGUCUGUACCACUAUAGACCAUAGACAGGUAGUCUGUCUAACCCUACUGUACAUAACAGAUGUACCACUAUAGACCAU
Long non-coding RNA from Oncorhynchus keta (chum salmon), 943 nucleotides. RefSeq lists it as uncharacterized. The transcript is spliced from 5 exons. The record is from RefSeq and is a predicted model, not a curated record. NCBI's taxonomy places the organism in Eukaryota, Metazoa, Chordata, Actinopteri, Salmoniformes, Salmonidae.